RNAcentral lists this transfer RNA (73 nucleotides) under Felis catus (domestic cat). It matches the Rfam family "tRNA". Rfam says of the family: Transfer RNA (tRNA) molecules are approximately 80 nucleotides in length. Lineage: Eukaryota; Metazoa; Chordata; Mammalia; Carnivora; Felidae. RNAcentral also lists the same sequence under 4 other names. The record is from Rfam by way of RNAcentral.
ACCUGACUGGGUCAGUCGGAAGAGCAUGUGACUCUUGAUCUCUGGGUCAUGAGUUCAAGCCCCAUGUUGGGUG